This 489-nucleotide ribosomal RNA is filed under the name uncultured bacterium. Its description in RNAcentral is "partial 16S ribosomal RNA". It matches the Rfam family "Bacterial small subunit ribosomal RNA", at positions 28 to 507 of the family's 1533-position model. The record is from RNAcentral.
GAUGAACGCUAGCGGCAGGCUUAAUACAUGCAAGUCGUGGGGCAGCAGGACUGUAGCAAUACAGUUGCGGGCGACCGGCAAACGGGUGCGGAACACGUACGCAACUUACCCUGAACUGGGGGAUAGCCCGGGGAAACCCGGAUUAAUACCCCGUAAUAUAAUGGAGUGGCAUCACUUUAUUAUUAAAGCUCCGGCGGUUCGGGAUGGGCGUGCGGCUGAUUAGGUAGUUGGUUGAGGUAACGGCUCACCAAGCCUACGAUCAGUAACUGGUGUGAGAGCACGCCCAGUCAGACGGGAACCGCGACACGGGCCCGACUCGUACGGAGGAGAGGAGUAAGUAAGACAGGGCAAUGGAGCCAAAUCUGACCCAGCCAUGUCGGGUGGAGGAGGAUGGCCGUCGGGGUUGUAAACUGCUUUUAUAGGGGACGAACCCGGUGUAUUCUCACGCAGUUGACGGUACCCUAGGAAUAAGCACCGGCUAACUUCGUG